UUGGUUGUCCCUACCUUUAAGACAUGCUCAAUUUGUUAAAUGCUAAUCACACUUCUUCAUCUCCACUUGAGUAGAUCUCUAUAAAUGCUAUCAUGCUACCUUUGUCUAUUUACUAGUAAGUGUUAGUUUGGAAGUACUGCACAUACUUCUAUUGGCUUUUAAAUUAAGCAUGGUGCUUAGGUUAAACAACCUUCCUUAAUCUGAUUAGACAUGGAGUCUAGUUCGGUUAUUGAACUAAAAAACUGCUUGUGUAGACAUUGGUAUAUUUUUGUCGGACUAACCCCUGCAGAAAAACUUUCAAUAUCGAUUUGGGAAGUCCUGAGAUAAACUCACAUCAGAGAUGAAGAGAGUGACACAUGAAGUUUAACAAUUUGCACAAGAAGGACAUAGCUCAUUCAUCAUAGAGAGAUGAUCCAUGGAGGGUACCACAAACACGAUGCACAAACACUAAGAAAGGAAAGCUUCCACAAGGUGAUACUUUACCAUCACUCUUCAAGCAAGGUAACAUCUUAAGGUACUUGACUAUCACUUUUAUAAGCUUCUCCUUGGUUCUGGCGUUCAUAUAAAUAAAAGAGACAAACAUGUAUGAUUUACAACUCUAGAUUAACCAACCCAACUGAUUCAACAUGUUUAGUCCUUUAACCCUUGUUCUUAGUACUACCUCCAUGAUCCCACACUCCUAAUCAUAUGAGCUAAAAUGUUACACAUUCAAUCAUUGAGAGAUAUAAAGAAAAAGACAUAUACAUAGAUAGAUUAUCUUUCCAUAAGGUUGAGCGAUCUGAUCUGACAAAUGUUAUAAGUGCUACACUCAUGAACUUUUCAUCCAUCAACUUUGUCUUGCUCACUAUGCUUAGGGUUAGAGAAGAACAAAUACACUUUAGGUUCUGUUGGUGUUUUCCACCAACAGGACCCAUGCACUUGAUCUCUGCCUUGUCUCUAUGAGCAGGUACACUUUGAGCAAAACACGGAGGAGUUUUAUAACUCUCAGACUCUACCAAGUGAAGGACCUAGAUCUACGAGCACAAACACAUAGAGCAGGUUACUGCCAACGCCGCACUUCGAGCUGCUGGGCAAACGAAGAACAUGGGCGACACCGUAUCAAGAGGUGCAGACGUCAAGGUCCGCACCUGAAUCAAAUGACGCACCUGAAGAAUGAACACGAUGAGAAGUCUUGUUAAGAAGACUUAAAACAUUGAACCCUUGCCGAAAGGUAAGAUCAGUUGUUAUUCAUAUUUAUCCUUUCUGCAUUCCCUUUUCCCUUUGAUUAUUUACUUUCCUUAAAUUGAUUAUUAGUUAAUCAUGCUAUCUUGAAAAGAAAAUAAAAAUGUUAAAAAAUACUAAGCCCCAUGUGAGUCUACGAGUGGCAUAAUACCCAUAAGUACCUUCACUGUGGUGGCAUAAAAAUAAAAUAAAUAUUUCUUUUCUGCUUUAUAAAAUAAAAAUAUAAAAACAGGGAGUAAUAUUUAUUGAGGAAGCUCAACAUGAUGAAGGCUAGAUAUUUAUGCUAACACAUAAUUAGUUCCACAAGCUUUGUUGUCUAUUUGAGCUCCACAGAAUUUAAGAAUCAAGAAGACUAGCAGACGGAGGACAUUCUAAUCGCUGUCACAAUGCUGCUGACUUUCAAAUACACCUCUGCCACCUGCUAGCUACAUCAAGAGAAAUUACGUCAAAAUUCAGCUUGGGGGAGAGCACCCCCAUUUAUCUCGCUAAGUAUUUCUACCUAUCUUUAUACUUAUAUUAUAUUAGAAUAUUAAAAUACAUAAAGUAUGAAAAACUAAAUAAAGAUUUUGUGCUUAUAUAUAUCUUUUGCUUAGUGUGUUUAAUAAAUAAAUAAAGUGGCUAUGCUAAUCUGAAUCUUAAUAAUAAAACUCUAGCAUGGAUAUGAUGAAUAGUUGCUCUGCCUAAUUUGCAAAUUUGAAGUUCUCUCUCAAGUUUAGACAUAACUGUUAUAAUUUAAAGCUUGCUCUAGAUCUAAAUUUGUGGGAUAAAAACUUGAUCUGAAAUCUAAGUUGUUAACGGAUAUGAUAUGGGAAGGUUGAGCUGCUGUUUAUCUGUUCCUUGAGAUGCUAGAAUUCUGGAGAAUUUUAUCUUUGAAAAAUCUUUAAAAUAUUGAAUGAUGAGUUCCUGUAUGAUGAAAGUUUAAAUUCCUACCACAGCCAUAUAUACAUGCUUGCUAGACUUUGAGCCAGACAUUUACUAUUUACUGCUUAUGAGCAUUGAGUGUGGUCAAGCUGUGUAGACCCUUAGGAGCUUGUCAUGUGGUUAAAUCAAGAUUUCACUUGCACAUUCACUCAUAUAUGCUACUUCUACUCCGGAAGUACCAUCCACAUAUAUCCACUCAUUUCCAUCUCCAGAACCACCCAAAAAAUAUUCUACUCCUAAUCCGGGAGAGAAUAACCAAAAAUAUUUCUGUUUUUCCGUGUGAAAUAAAUGCUCAAGUUAUCUUGUUACUACCACUUGCUAUAUUAUCUCAUGAGAUGAGUGCUCUAAAAAAGGAGAGAAAAAAUAUAUGAGGAAAAAAAAAGGGGCAGGUGCCCGGAACCUCGAAAGAAAAGAAAAAGAGUGAGACGAGAGGUAAAAAUGGACAAGUGUCCGACAGUAGAAUUAGGGGUACAGGAUACCCACCUGAGAGGAAAGAAAAAAAUGAAAGAUAGAGCAUCUCAUUCUCCUCAUAAAGUUUAAAAAAGCAAGGAAGGUAUGUAUCCCCUCAAAAGAGCAAAAGUAGAAUUAGACUUCCACCAUUGUUAUCACCAUCAUCACCAUACACCAUUCAUUCGCCACACAUGCACAUCAUGAUUUGACUUAUUGACUUGUUUCUCUAGAUCCAUGGUUUGACUAUGCAAUAAAUGUCUUGUAAGUAUGUAUUAGCUGUCUCCCACCUAUGAGCUCCAGAUAUUAAAGCCUUAUUAGAGUAGGGUGAGAGAGAAGACAAUGUCACUAUGCCAUAUACCACAAAUACCACAUAUCUUGAGAGAAGGCAUAUACCAUCACUGCCUUGGUAAGGAUCCAGAAAUACCACAAAAGAGAGAUUUAGAGAGUCAUACAAGGAAUCUCUGAGUUUUAUUUGAAAAUCUACAAAAAUUCCAGAGCUAUAGCUGAUCAAGAAUAAGAGACAUGGCACUUGGCUAGACUGUUCUAUCUUUUAACUAAAGACAUAAGUGACGGUUACAAGUCCCAUGGUGAAAGGCACAGUAAGUAAGUUUUAGUUCUUGACAGUUUACUCUAACUCAGAGAUGAGAUCUUAUUUAAAAGCAUGUGUACCGUCAAAUUUUUAAGAUAUUGCAACAACUUCUGAUCCACUGCUGUGUCUAUCCUUGCUCAGGGACGAGCAAGAGGUAAGCUUGGGGGAGUUUGUUGACGGUCCUUAAGUAUCAAAUUUAAUUAUCAAAUAAACAAAGAAAAGGAUCCAAAUGAAAUCAACAUCUAGACUUAGGGUUUUAUCUGAUAGAAUUCCACGAGUUUUGGUGUUUGUCUAUUUCUGUAGGGGGUUAUCAGGAAAUACGGAAGAAAGGCCCACACGUCGGGAUUACAUAGAGAUAUUAAUGUGCCGUGCAAUUAUCUUACAUCUAAAAGACUCCAGAAGCCACGGGAAGAAAGCGGAGGCCGAACGGGGCCAGAGGCAGGGCGCCCGCCCUCCUGCCUGGGCGCUCGCCCUGACUUGGAGCCCAAUCAAGACUCUUUCUCUCGGGAGAUCUCCACCGACCUAAAGGAUCAAGAAUAACCGUUCAAUCAAUGUCGGUUUGAUCCGACGGCCCAGGUUCACUUGAGGGGACUAUAUAACCAGACCCCCUGGCCCCUGGAGGAGGCACCCCUUGAUCAUUAUUUAUUAUUCAUAGACAGAGCAAAAGCUAGGGUUUAGAGAUGAGAGCUCUCCUCUCUUCUCUAAACUAGAGUAGAUCUAGAUAGUAG
Molecule: long non-coding RNA, 3909 nt
Filed under: Sorghum bicolor (sorghum)
Lineage: Eukaryota; Viridiplantae; Streptophyta; Magnoliopsida; Poales; Poaceae
Description: long non-coding RNA (SBIC_LNC012713)
Source: RNAcentral